UCCAUCAUUCAAGCACACAUACACACGGGAAGGGGAGAGAUCGAGAAAGAGAGUGACGAAUUGAGCAAGAAGGUGUUAGCAGUAUCGUGUUUUCUUUCCAUUCGUGGCUGUGAAAAGAAUUCUCAACAUCUCCAGGUAUAGAUCGACGAUCUCUGGAUAUUAAUCCCUGUGGUUCCUUGUUUGUUAGCAUCAUCAGAGAUUCGAGGUAUCCAGCUGACUUAUACAAAAUAGUGAAAAUCAAACCUGUGCUGGACCGGCGUUGCACUAACUUCCCUCGCCGUCCAGUUGGGUUGCCUUUUAAUCCAUAAGCAGCAGUGAAAGCUGAGAAACUCUUUAUAGCGUCUCUUACACAUAUCGAGUCUGUUUGGCUCCAGAAAAAAAGAUGAUUUGUACUUGGAAGUGGUCAACCGUCAGUUGCAGAUCUUGGCUUAGUGAGAUUAUGCAACUUGAGGUCUAUUUGCAAUUGAAGCGAAAGGAGGUAAAAUAAUGUCUUUGGAUAAACAAAUCUUCUGAAUGUGUUGAUUGGCAUAACAAAAAGGCAAACAUCAGUUAGAUUCAUUGGUGAGGUAUUUUGGAGCGUCUUGUUUCCAUGGAUGCAAAGUGAUUUAUUUUUUCUCGGUUUAGAAGCUUCACUUUUCGGAUGAUUUACUGCACAUCCUCUCAAGCACAUUGUCUUAUAUUGACUCUCCAUAUCUAAGUGCACACGAUGGAAGAAUUAAAACUAUCUGAAAAUCAUUUGAAGUGUCCUAUUUAGACUUUCUCAAAUCAUUUUGGUAAGCAACCUCAGUGGAAGCUUUUGAAAGAAAUGUUCAUGCAGGAAAGAGUAAAAAAGAAAAGCUGAAUAUUUUUCCCAAAUCAUUCGUAGUCUUAUCUCAUUGUCUUCCUAUGAUGCCACGACAGAAAGGUGCCCAGAUAGAGACUACAAAGAAUUCUGAAGCAUGGGUCCUCGAAAGUGGACGCAAUCCAGAUACAUAUGUUUUAAAGGUUCAGAAAACAUGAUAUAGGCAGCGUUAUUUGAAUUUGAUGCUGAAUACAGAGGUUCGACACAUAUUUAAUACCCCUCAAAGAUCAUAACUUUUAUUUGGAGCUUUCUUGAUAAUCGUAGAGACUCCCAUGAUGAACAUGAUUGCUGGUGGGGCAGCUGCACGUCCAUUUGUAACCCACCACAAAGAUUUGAAUAUUCUAGAGUCUCAAGGGCUACAUAUGUGAGAAUUUAGUUCGAAUGCUGAUAAAUCAUCAUUCAAAGUUUUAAAUAAUAUGCAUAAUUCAACUGAUUUGAAGUUUUAAAUAAUGUGCAUAAUUCAACUGAGUCAGUGACGGAUACUGUGUCAAACACUAUUUUGACAAAAACAUAUGUUGCUGAAGGACAAAAUGGAUAUGCAGUUGGUAAAUCAGUAGAGGUUAAUCUACUGGAUGAAAGGACAUUGCUGGCUGCAUAGUUCGCACAACUCAAGCUAGUUCUGGUGGUAGAAUGAGUAUUAGUUCUACAGUUAGUAAUAGUUGAAUAGUGUGUAAGUUGUUUUUGGAUUCUGUCACUUCCUCCUCUUAAUAUAUAGUUGUUUUUUUCUUUGGUCUAUUGAUUUUUUGAUUCUAGUUCGUAAUGCGCCUCAGAAUCAUUCCAUCUAUCAUUUAUCUCAUCCAUAACAAUGUGCAGUUUCCUAUAUUGACUUAUUUGGAUACAUGGACUUAUCAUAAUUUUGCUUCUUUUGACACCUUUUUAAAUAAAUAAAGUAUAUUCUUCAUUCCAACAUAUGGAAUACUCCGUUUUGAGAUAACAAAAUAUUUGACCCUAAUAUGUUUCUAAAAACAAAGUCACAUCUUUCACGAACUCAAAUUCUUUGGAUUGUUCAAAUCUUAAACUUUGAUGUGAUGUUUUCUCUAUCACAGUAGUGUGUUGUACCAUCUAUUUAGUAGUUACUUUCACUAUUACUAAUAUAACAUAUAAGUCAAAUUUAAAUAUUUUUUCAGUGAAAUAACGCGAUGUUAAAUAGGAGUGAGAGAAUAUUAACAGUUGUUCCACAUUUGCCUGAUGUUCAACACAGGUGAAAGGCUGUGGCGAGGCGAUAUUGAAUAGAUAUUCUGCUGAAUGCAUUUAGAAGUUAUGGUUUCAUCACUUGUUUUGCCACAUUUUCUUAUUUUCAUCAUAUCUUUAUGUCAUUCCACCUUCUAUUUAUUUCUUAUUGUCUGUUGUCUUGUGUUUUCACUAUCAUAUUAUGUUGUUGUAGUUAUUGUGUAUUACUAUCUGUUAAUAGCUAAAGUUUGUUUCUUCUAUGCAAGUAUUUCUUCUGUGCAAGUAUGAAUCAGUUCAAGCCUAUUUUCUUCGGUAUUGUAUACCUUAAUAGUCUAUUGAGCAAACUUAAGCGUGCCUACGAUACACAGAAGUGUAUUCGUGCUGGUGGCAAAAAUAAUGAUCUAUAUGAUGUUGGUAAGGACACUUACCACCACACUUUCUUUGCGAUGCUUGGUAAUUGGUCAUUUGGGGUUUAUUUCAAGAAAGAGGCCAUUGAAUGAGCUUGGGAACUCUUUACACAGGCAAGUUUUAUCCCGAUUAAUAGUAAUAUUCUUGUACGUUUUCAGUUGUGCUCCUAGCAUAUAUGUUGUAUGAUCAAAAAAUGGCAGAUGUUGACUUGUAUAAAUUAUUUUUCCUUGUUUGAUGAUUUUUGUCCAGAUAUAUAGACUGUCAAGUGAAAGGAUUUACGCUACUUAUUUUGACGGUGAUGAAAAAUUUGGCCUUCCAGCUGAUAACGAAGCUAGAGACCUAUGGCUUCAGUUCCUUUGUCCUAGCAGGGGGCUACCUUUUAGCUGUAAAGACAACUUUUGGGAGAUGGGUGAUACCAGACCUUGUGGACCCUGCACUGAAAUACACUUUGAUAGAAUUAGGAGUUGUGAUGUUGCAUCAUUUGUUAAUAAUGAUGAUCCCACUAUGAUUGAGACAUGGAACCUUGUCUUUAUUUAGAUCAAUUGGAGGGUUCACAACCUAUUUUGACUUUCUCAAGCCAUUUUGAUAAACAACCUCACUACAACGUUCUGAAAGAAAUGUUCAUGCAGGU
This is a long non-coding RNA of Capsicum annuum, 3050 nucleotides long. RefSeq lists it as uncharacterized. The record is from RefSeq and is a predicted model, not a curated record. NCBI's taxonomy places the organism in Eukaryota, Viridiplantae, Streptophyta, Magnoliopsida, Solanales, Solanaceae. The transcript is spliced from 13 exons.